RNAcentral lists this ribosomal RNA (539 nucleotides) under uncultured bacterium. RNAcentral's name for it is "partial 16S ribosomal RNA". It matches the Rfam family "Bacterial small subunit ribosomal RNA", at positions 355 to 885 of the family's 1533-position model. The record is from RNAcentral.
UGGGGAAUUUUGGACAAUGGGCGAAAGCCUGAUCCAGCAAUGCCGCGUGUGUGAAGAAGGCCUUCGGGUUGUAAAGCACUUUCAGCGAGGAGGAAGGUGGUGAACUUAAUACGUUCAUCAAUUGACGUUACUCGCAGAAGAAGCACCGGCUAACUCCGUGCCAGCAGCCGCGGUAAUACGGAGGGUGCAAGCGUUAAUCGGAAUUACUGGGCGUAAAGCGCACGCAGGCGGUUUGUUAAGUCAGAUGUGAAAUCCCCGGGCUCAACCUGGGAACUGCAUUUGAAACUGGCAAGCUAGAGUCUCGUAGAGGGGGGUAGAAUUCCAGGUGUAGCGGUGAAAUGCGUAGAGAUCUGGAGGAAUACCGGUGGCGAAGGCGGCCCCCUGGACGAAGACUGACGCUCAGGUGCGAAAGCGUGGGGAGCAAACAGAUUAGAUACCCUGGUAGUCAGCGCUGUAAACGAUGUCGAUUUUGGAGGUUGUGCCCCUUGAGGCGUGGCUUCCGGAGCUAACGCGUUAAAUCGACCGCCUGGGGAGUACGG